This is a long non-coding RNA of Schistocerca serialis cubense, 2778 nucleotides long. RefSeq lists it as uncharacterized. NCBI's taxonomy places the organism in Eukaryota, Metazoa, Arthropoda, Insecta, Orthoptera, Acrididae. The record is from RefSeq and is a predicted model, not a curated record. The transcript is spliced from 2 exons.
GGGGGGGGGUGUCAUGUGUAUGUCUGAUGCUUAAUGCAUUCUUGUGGUGAGUAGCAUUCUAUCCAGUUUGUAUCAUUAAUGAGUUUUCUUUAGGUUACUGCUCUAGUAAGCACAAUGUUUUCUCUCAUUGGAGAAAGUUACCAUGUUUUUAAACUGGCCGCAUGAACUUGUUUACUUUGAUCAAUCUUUAUCCUUCGGCUUGCUCCAGCUUACAGCUGUAUUUGCACUAUUCAUUUUGCAUUAUUGUAAGAUCCUGUCCAUCUCCAUAUGACCUUCUGACAGCGUCAAAUAUGUAGGAUUGUACUGCAAAUAGAUACUGUGAUUCUCUGUCAGUGUGAGUGGCUACUUUACUCAUCUUGUAAGUGUUCUUGAAAUUUCCAAAAUAAAAAAUUACUGUCAUUAUUCUUAGACAAUAUGAAAAUAGAACCAGUCUGAUUUCUAUUUCUUUGUGUUAUAAAUCUUCCAUAUUUAAAUAGAAAGAGGUUUUCUUUAAAAAUAUACAAAUGUCUUUUUAUUAACAAAAAAAUUUCACAUCACCACCUGUCUUGUUUGUGAGAACAUUUUUAUUGAUUUAUUCAUGGAAGAAUUUUGAGUGUUCAUUAAAUUUGAUUUACUGUGUAGUGUAAAUGUUUGCCACUUUAAAAUGGUCUGUUGAAAAAUUUCUUGGCCUUUUAUUUCUGUAUCUACGAAUUGUAUGGGUGUCACUGACACAGAUGAAGCAGACCAUUCUACAUAUAGUGAACCAGAUUCUCCUGUGUAAUAAAUUUCUUUCCCGGGCCAUAAGCUUCUCAUAAAAUUAUUAAUUCUAUAAACAAUAUUGCUUCACAGUUUGUGAUGUUCCCCAAAAUUAGUAUCAGUAGUAUUGAUUAUUAACAGCACCAAAUUUUUUCUGCAGGAAUGAUUCAGAGCCUGCCCAAUCUUUUAUAAAAUGUUGGAAAGAGAAAAUACUUUAAGAACACAAAGUAAAUAAACAUUAUUACUUACACUUAUCAUCGAGUGUGUAGUAAACAGUAGGAGAGAAUGUUUUUGCUAUAAAUAAUGAGAAAUGCUUAAUGUCUAGAUUGUCCAACAGCUUAAAAAUUUAUUCUGUCAGUGAUUUGUACACUUAACAUGUUAUUGGUAAAUAAGAGACAUACAUUCCAGUUACAUAAAUAAUAUUUUUACAUGUUCUUAAUAACUGUCAUGUGCACCACAGCUACCUUCAUACUUAGUGUCAUUGCCAUAUAAUUUGAUUUAUGUGGUGCUGGCUUUGCAACAAUGGUAAUACUGGUUCCUAUCAGAUUACUGAAGUUAAGCAAUGUCGGGCUGGACUAGUUCUUGGAUGGGUCCCCAGCCGAAGAUGACAUGGCGGACGGUCAGUACCGCAGGACCUUCGAGGCCUGUUCAGAUUUUGUUUUUGUUCAUUGCAGACAUUAACAGGCUUCCAAGAUGUGAAUAACUACCAGGGAGCACCACAGCCAUUCAGAAGCUUUGUCUUUGUCAUUUACCUAAUGAUAAAUCUCUUUGAAAAGAGAAAAAUUUCCCUACUCUGUCCUAAGAUGAAGAAACCUCAAAGCAGCUGCUCCUCAGAGAAAGUGCAGUGUCUGAUGGAAAGAUGGUUAGUUUCUACAUACAGCAAAUAACAUACUUACAAAUAUCAGGAAACAAAAAGUCAUGUGAAAGUAGAUGAUGGUGAUAAAGUGGAUUGUUAAAGUGGUUCACUCAUUGAUUUACACUGACAAAACUUUGAUCGGUGGUGGAAAAAUAUCCAAACUUUCUUGGACUUGCUUAGUGAAAACGCCUGCGAUAAUGCCAACUUAUUGGUGCUGUGAAAUGUUAACAGUUACAAAUAAGAGCUGAUUAACUCAAAAAGAGGCUUGUCUGAUGUUCAUUAGUAAUUGCUGCAUACCUGCAAGGAAAAUCAACAGAAAUUGAAUACAUUAUAAGACUUGUAUUUUUUUAUGUAUGCGGUUAGGAUGUAGGAAAUAGUGUCAGCUUUGUAAGAAAAAAAUAUGUAUUAUUCUGUGUCAUUCAGUGGGUUGUAUGGUAUCUAGGUCUAUUUUCGGUGUAGUGAAGCAAGUUUUCUGUGAUUUAUUUUCUGAUAAAGGAAACUUAAAAUGGCAACCCAGCUGUAAAUGUGAUGAUUUCUGAUAGCACAAUAUCUUGUGAUAUCAAACUUGUGUGAAUAUUUUUUCACAGAUAUCAUCUAAAAAUUUCUCAAGGACAUAUUUAAAAAUAUGUGGUGCUGCUGCUUUUGUAGUAAAUGUUUAAGAAUUGCAUUCUUCUUGUUGUAUUGUAAAAUUUCACUGUUUCCUUUGCUCAAGUAAUUUUUGUAGAUGUCUGUAUCAUUGUAUAGAUUUUUUUUGCUGUGACUAAUAGUCAAGAUUCAUUUUCCACUCUUUGUAUCUCUGUUGAUUUUUUUCUUACAGUAAUUGCAUUUACUUGCGUGAGUGAUUCCGCUGUAAAGUGCCAUGAAAACAUUAAUCUUCAUGUAUCAGUAUAACUUUUUUGGAUUGACAGUUUGAGAUUGUGGUAAUUAGUAUUCUGUACUUAUUCCUUGCAUUCAAAAUGAAUGGUCCUCAUUUUAGACUUUCUGCUCUUCAUGAAAGAGUACAUGUGUGUUUAUAUGCUAGAUCAAUGCUCAUACUGAAGUUGGAUGCCACAAAUAUUAUGUGAUGAACCUACGCAGGGAAUCUCAUCUGUACAUUAACAUAUUGCAUUCAUAAAUUUGUACAAAAUUUGGUGGAUUGUUGAUUUGUCAGUUACCAUUGUACAAUAAAAGUGUAUUUUUAUUUCAAG